GAUGAAGAACGUAGCGAAAUGCGAUAAGUAAUGUGAAUUGCAGAAUUCAGUGAAUCAUCGAAUCUUUGAACGCACAUUGCGCCCGCCAGUAUUCUGGCGGGCAUGCCUGUUCGAGCGUCAUUUCAACCAUCAAGCCCCCGGCUUGUGUUGGGGACCUGCGGCUGCCCGCAGGCCCUGAAAACCAGUGGCGGGCUCGCUGUCACUCCGAGCGUAGUAGCAUAUAUCUCGCUCAGGGCGUGCUGCGGGUUCCGGCCGUUAAAAGCCUUUUUUUACCCAAGGUUGACCUCGGAUCAGGUAGGAAGACCCGCUGAACUUAAGCAUAUCAAAAGCGGAGGA
RNAcentral lists this unclassified non-coding RNA (336 nucleotides) under soil metagenome. Its description in RNAcentral is "partial contains 5.8S ribosomal RNA, internal transcribed spacer 2, and large subunit ribosomal RNA". The stretch from base 1 to 120 matches the Rfam family "5.8S ribosomal RNA", at positions 35 to 154 of the family's 154-position model. The record is from RNAcentral.